This 115-nucleotide ribosomal RNA is filed under the name Oceanimonas baumannii. The record is from RNAcentral. Lineage: Bacteria; Pseudomonadati; Pseudomonadota; Gammaproteobacteria; Aeromonadales; Aeromonadaceae.
CCUGGCGGCCAUAGCGUUGUGGAACCACCUGAUUCCAUGCCGAACUCAGUAGUGAAACGCGACCGCGCCGAUGAUAGUGUGGCAGCUGCCAUGUGAAAGUAGGUCACUGCCAGGC